Molecule: long non-coding RNA, 398 nt
Organism: Lingula anatina
Lineage: Eukaryota; Metazoa; Brachiopoda; Lingulata; Lingulida; Lingulidae
Source: RefSeq, a predicted model, not a curated record
GUAUGUGACAAGAGCAAGGGAGCAAAGAAAUAGGAGGAGCAGCAGCAGAAAUUGGGGCGCAGUCGUCGACCAAAAUAUAAAAUUGAUAACUGUCAGAAACACUGUCUUUUGAGAAAAGAAAACUGAGGGGCAUCUCAGAAAACCACAGUUGGUUGGCGGCAAUUUAUUCAAAGUUUUCAUCCACUCAAGUUGAUUUUUAUUCCUCCAUAGGCGGACUUUUUAUUUGACAUCUUUAUUUUACGAGAGGAGUUCAGCGGUCAUCUUGAAAUGAAUGCAAAAGACGAAGACGUGUUCAUCACCAUUGACAGUAUUCUAGAUAUCCAAACAACGGGGGCGCCCAGGGUGAUGGGAAACAAGGCUACGACAGCUGGCUGGCAGCCUGAACCUGAGACCAUUCC